Molecule: long non-coding RNA, 1557 nt
Organism: Oncorhynchus kisutch (coho salmon)
Lineage: Eukaryota; Metazoa; Chordata; Actinopteri; Salmoniformes; Salmonidae
Exons: 2
Source: RefSeq, a predicted model, not a curated record
CAUCGGGGUAAGCAUGCCAGUUCCUAGGCUGUUGACUUGUCUUUUGUGUCGUCAACCAGACUUUGUGCUUUUGUUAAUAGGUGGAGGUAGACCAAUUGGCAUACACAAUGUUGGCUAUAAGCAAUAAAUAUACACGUAAUCAUAGCGUCACCAUUCGUGUCGCAUGCGAAGUCGUACAGUGGAGAAUGAUAACUAGUGGCUUUAAAAUAUGAAUCAUGGGUUACCUACCUUUGUUGUCCUUCCUCCUGGUAGACUGCCACCGGGAUGGAGAACCACGGGCUACUUCCCCAAUACUCUCUGAUGACGUCUCCCCAACCUGGCUAUUCUGAUUGGCGCACUGUACGAAAAGGGGACGUCCCGUAUGGCUAUACAUGCAACGGUAGCUAGAGUUAGAAAAAAAGGCAAGGCCCGGAUGUUGAAAUUGUGCAAAAUUAUACAAUUGUAUUUUAUUCGCGUUUGCUCGACGAUUUAUGGAAACACUGUUAAAAGCUUGUGCGUAAUGUCCCGUUGGCGACCGAUUGAUCGGCGCAAACUUUAUUGCCAGUUAUUGACUAAGUUGGCCGACCAGGGAAAACCAGUCGUGGGCUGUAAAGGGCCUCGAGCACGACUGAAAAACCUCCUGACCAUAUGGAUAUCACCAUUGCUAGACUUGAUCUGAAAUAAAUUCGAGUAGAGACCACCCCCCAGGCCGUGGCCAUGGUACCCAUGUAAGCCCUGGGGUGGUACAGAAGAAAGGGGGCCUCGACCCCAGGAGAAGGGUCCCCCACAACACCCAAGGUACCGGCAGCCACGGCCUGACAGCCUUGCGGCGCCUAGGGGAGUGAUCUCCUCUGGGCCCCGAGGGACAGGAUGGUUAUUGAUUCGGAAGAGCAGGAGGAGAUUACGAGUAUCUACCUUCUGAGGCUGCAGCAAUAUCCCCUGACCCAAGGCCUGUACCUAAAACGAUACAAAGUCACCGGUGAAGUGUUUGUUAGAGAUGUCCUUAUCAACCAUUGGAACAGAAGAAGAAUUCCUCACUACUGGCAGGCUGUCAGAACAUACUCUCUAAUAGUUAUCUAUGUGGGACUGAUACCGGUGUGGAACAGCCGGUCAAUCUUAAAGGACUCUGUGAAUGAUUACCUUGCCAAUAGGAUGAUUGAAUAUUAUUGUCUUGCAGACAAGUGGAAGAUGUUAGAAAUGAUUUUUCUUGUAAGUUUCCUCCUAAUACAGGAUGUGGGUGGUGUUUUCAUUUCUAACACAGAGAUGAAAUCAGUCAGAAAGAGUAGAUUCACACAAACAUAAAGGAGUCACACAGAAGGAGGAAGAUUAGCACACCAUGAAGAGUAAGCAAGGUGAGAUCCAUUUUCAUGCAUUUGGAAAGGAGGACACUAAUGUGAUGUGGCUGCAACAGCCUUCGUCAGAGUGUUUCUUAAGUUAAAACAGUGCCACAACAAUGACCAGUUUAUUAAACACUACAGAAGGUGGCUUAUCACUACCCAAACUGUGCAUGCAGCUCCCCUGUCCAACACAACCUGAGUGUGUUAACCCACAGAGACUUAAUAAAUGUGCGUUUAGCCA